Molecule: ribosomal RNA, 630 nt
Filed under: uncultured Bacillota bacterium
Lineage: Bacteria; Bacillati; Bacillota
Description: bacterial SSU rRNA
Rfam family: Bacterial small subunit ribosomal RNA
Source: RNAcentral
GCAAGUCGCGUGCGCAGUUCCUGUAGCAAUACGGGGAUGGGCGCACGGCGCACGGGUGCGUAACACGUGGGCAAUCUGCCCUCCGAUGGGGAAUAACCCCGCGAAAGCGGGGCUAAUUCCGCAUAACAUUCCUUGGACCAACGUUCGAGGAUUCAAAGCAGUAAUGCGUCGGAGGAGGAGCCCGCGCCCGAUUAGCUAGUUGGUGAGGUAACGGCUCACCAAGGCAAUGAUCGGUAGCUGGUCUGAGAGGAUGGCCAGCCACACUGGAACUGAGACACGGUCCAGACUCCUACGGGAGGCAGCAGUGGGGAAUCUUGCACAAUGGGCGAAAGCCUGAUGCAGCGACGCCGCGUGGGGGAUGAAGCUUCUCGGAGUGUAAACCCCUUUCGACUGGGACGAAUGCCUCGCAAGAGGAGUGACGGUACCAGUAUAAGAAGCCCCGGCUAACUACGUGCCAGCAGCCGCGGUAAGACGUAGGGGGCCAGCGUUGUUCGGAAUUACUGGGUGUAAAGGGUUCGUAGGCGGUGUGGCAAGUUGGGAGUGAAAUCUCUGGGCUCAACCCAGAGGCUGCUUCCAAAACUGCUGUGCUUGAGUGUGAGAGAGGCGCGUGGAAUUGCACGUGUAGCGGUG